This 305-nucleotide ribosomal RNA is filed under the name uncultured bacterium. RNAcentral's name for it is "bacterial SSU rRNA". It matches the Rfam family "Bacterial small subunit ribosomal RNA", at positions 335 to 633 of the family's 1533-position model. The record is from RNAcentral.
GUCCUACGGGAGGCAGCAGUAGGGAAUUUUCGUCAAUGGGCGCAAGCCUGAACGAGCAAUGCCGCGUGAACGAGGAAGGUCUUCGGAUCGUAAAGUUCUGUUGAAGGGGAAAAAGAGCGGAGAGAGGAAAUGGUCUCCGAUUGAUAUUACCCUUCGAGGAAGUCACGGCUAACUACGUGCCAGCAGCCGCGGUAAUACGUAGGGGGCAAGCGUUAUCCGGAAUUACUGGGUGUAAAGGGUGCGUAGGCGGCACGCCAAGUCAGUUGUGAAACCCGUAGGCUCAACCUACGGCUUGCAAUUGAAAC